AAGAGGAAGUUGUAACUAAAAGAAGCCGCUAACUAUCUUUUAAAGCGGUUAGAGUCCGUUUCCCUCUUA
RNAcentral lists this transfer RNA (69 nucleotides) under Bryanellocoris orientalis. RNAcentral's name for it is "tRNA-Ser". Lineage: Eukaryota; Metazoa; Arthropoda; Insecta; Hemiptera; Rhyparochromidae. The record is from RNAcentral.